Molecule: ribosomal RNA, 449 nt
Filed under: uncultured bacterium
Lineage: Bacteria
Description: bacterial SSU rRNA
Rfam family: Bacterial small subunit ribosomal RNA
Source: RNAcentral
CGCCUUCGGGAGGCAGCAGGGGGGAAUUUUGGACAAUGGGGGCAACCCUGAUCCAGCCAUUCCGCGUGAGUGAAGAAGCCCUUCGGGUUGUAAAGCUCUUUUGUCGGGGAGGAAACGGUUUUGUUUAAUACCCUAGACUACUGACGGUACCCGAAGAAUAAGCACCGGCUAACUACGUGCCAGCAGCCGCGGUUAUACGUAGGGCGCAAGCGUUAAUCGGAAUUACUGGGCGUAAAGCGUGCGCAGGCGGUUUUGUAAUCCAGAUGUGAAAUCCCCGGGCUCAACCUGGGAAUGGCAUUUGGGACUGCAAGGCUAGAGUAUGGCAGAGGAGACUGGAAUUCCUGGUGUAGCAGUGAAAUGCGUAGAUAUCUGGAGGGACACCGGUGGCGAAGGACGGUCUCUGGGCUGAUACUGACGCUCAUGCACGAAAGCGUGGGGAGCAAACAGGA